GGGGAAUUGGAGCUUAUUAAGAUGUCACUGCAUUUUGUAUUCACCAAGAACAUAUGAAAGAUCUUGAACCGCCAGAAUUUGACCCUGAGUGUCUGAUAAAUGAGAAGCAACUAGCAGUAUGGUGGAAUUUUUCUUUCACUGAAUCCUGAAUGGGAGAUUUGGUUUAUUGUGAUAUAGAUGAACCCUAGAAAAUUUAUAAUCUGCUUUUCCACCGUGGUUUCAUAUGUUACUGUUUGUGUACCAUACAUUAGAGAGUUAUC
RNAcentral lists this unclassified non-coding RNA (260 nucleotides) under Hevea brasiliensis (rubber tree). Lineage: Eukaryota; Viridiplantae; Streptophyta; Magnoliopsida; Malpighiales; Euphorbiaceae. The record is from RNAcentral.